GAUGAACGCUAGCGGCAGGCCUAAUACAUGCAAGUCGGACGGGAUCCAUCGGUAGCUUGCUAUCCAUCGUGAGAGUGGCGCACGGGUGCGUAACGCGUGAGCAACCUGCCUCCAUCAGGGGGAUAGCCUCUCGAAAGAGAGAUUAACACCGCAUAACAUAUCAGACCGGCAUCGGUCGGAUAUCAAAUAUUUAUAGGAUGGAGAUGGGCUCGCGUGACAUUAGCUUGUUGGUGGGGUAACGGCCCACCAAGGCGACGAUGUCUAGGGGCUCUGAGAGGAGAAUCCCCCACACUGGUACUGAGACACGGACCAGACUCCUACGGGAGGCAGCAGUAAGGAAUAUUGGUCAAUGGGCGGAAGCCUGAACCAGCCAUGCCGCGUGCAGGAUGACUGCCCUAUGGGUUGUAAACUGCUUUUGUCCGGGAAUAAACCUCCUUACGUGUAGGGAGCUGAAUGUACCGGAAGAAUAAGGAUCGGCUAACUCCGUG
RNAcentral lists this ribosomal RNA (488 nucleotides) under uncultured bacterium. Its description in RNAcentral is "partial 16S ribosomal RNA". It matches the Rfam family "Bacterial small subunit ribosomal RNA", at positions 28 to 507 of the family's 1533-position model. The record is from RNAcentral.